This 429-nucleotide ribosomal RNA is filed under the name Bacillota bacterium. RNAcentral describes it as "Firmicutes bacterium partial 16S ribosomal RNA". It matches the Rfam family "Bacterial small subunit ribosomal RNA", at positions 355 to 776 of the family's 1533-position model. The record is from RNAcentral. Lineage: Bacteria; Bacillati; Bacillota.
UAGGGAAUCUUCGGCAAUGGACGGAAGUCUGACCGAGCAACGCCGCGUGAGUGAAGAAGGUUUUCGGUUCGUAAAGCUCUGUUGUUAGAGAAGAACGUUGGUAGGAGUGGAAAAUCUACCAAGUGACGGUAACUAACCAGAAAGGGACGGCUAACUACGUGCCAGCAGCCGCGGUAAUACGUAGGUCCCGAGCGUUGUCCGGAUUUAUUGGGCGUAAAGCGAGCGCAGGCGGUUCUUUAAGUCUGAAGUUAAAGGCAGUGGCUUAACCAUUGUACGCUUUGGAAACUGGAGGACUUGAGUGCAGAAGGGGAGAGUGGAAUUCCAUUAGUAGCGGUAAAAUGCGAAGAUAUAUGGAGGAACACCGGCGGCGAAAGCGGCUCACUGGUCUGUAACUGACGCUGAGGCUCGAAAGCGGGGGGAGCAAACAGG